UAGUGUUACAGAUCUUUGAGAUUUGUCUAGCAGGUUUUCUGGUUGUUACCCAAAAGCCAUC
This 61-nucleotide small nuclear RNA is filed under the name Sorex araneus (European shrew). RNAcentral's name for it is "U7 small nuclear RNA (ENSSARG00000019281.1)". It matches the Rfam family "U7 small nuclear RNA". From Rfam's summary of the family: Animal histone pre-mRNAs are spliced by a different mechanism than nuclear pre-mRNAs and self-splicing introns. Lineage: Eukaryota; Metazoa; Chordata; Mammalia; Eulipotyphla; Soricidae. The record is from RNAcentral.